Molecule: long non-coding RNA, 5000 nt
Organism: Bactrocera neohumeralis
Lineage: Eukaryota; Metazoa; Arthropoda; Insecta; Diptera; Tephritidae
Exons: 2
Source: RefSeq, a predicted model, not a curated record
ACGUUAGAAAUAAUUUAGAAAAUAUUUUUAAACAUUUUCUAAAAUCAUAAUAUUUUUCAAAAUUUUAAAAUUUUGUGAAUACCUUAAAUGAAUUAAUAUAAAAUACAUUUUUUUUUAAUUUCCAACAAAAACAAUAUUAUUUAAAAAAAAUUUAAUUUUUAAUUUUUUUAAUAUUGCAACAAUUCUAUAACCGUAAUAUGAAAAAUUGAAAACUUUAUUUCUUUCUUUAUUUUAAAAUUAAUUAAGUAAUAUAACUUAAAUCCUUGGCAAACACACGUACGCCUUAAUAACACAGAAAAAACAUGAUAACUAAAUAAUUAAUAUAAAAAAUAAUAAAUUAAAAAUAAUAAUAAAUUUUUUAUCUAAAUAUAUAUUUUUUUAAAAACCAAACUCUUUUAUACUACAAUCAAAAUGAUGCCAUACAAACGAUGAGAGAAAUUCUCACUUUUUUACUCAGUAACCGCAACAAGUGAACAACACACACGUACACACAUACACAUUCGUGCCUUUCAUUGUGUAAAACCGUCCCCACACUUUAGAGGAAUAAUUGCUUGUAUGGUUGUUUCAUCGGAACCAUGCAUUUCGCCAAUCGCCUUAAAUCACUGAACCGUUAUGUGCAACUAAACCGCUCUCAGCGCGCGUAAAAUUCAUUUCUCUUGCCUUAACUGCAGCUGAGAAAUUGCGGCUUAGUAAUGCAAAUUACCUUGCUGCAAAUUACCGUUCAUCAUUACAUACAUACAUAACGGUACUUAUGUAUGAAUUUAUGUAUGUAGAUGAUGUGAAAUAUAAAAUUGGCAAUGCUGAGUUGAGUUUGGAGGCGCUUAAGCAGUGCUGGGUUUGCAUCAGUAAAAGUUGUUCACUUUGAGUUUUUCCUAUAAGAAGUUAUUUUGUGUUUUUUAAUUCAAAACCACAAAAUCAAGCCAAUAAUUUAAAUAUUUAAAAUUAUUAUUAUCGCUUAAUCUUAUAAAAUUAUUAUAAAUUCUAAUUUUAUUAGGGUGUUUAAAUAUUUUUUUACUUGCAUAUUUUAGUUGAAUACUUUGCAGCCUACGAAAAUUUAUCAAAACUUUUGAAAAGCCUCCCAAAAAAAAUUUUUGUUUUUAGAAAUUUGAAAUUUUUUUUUUAGAAAUUUGAAAACUUGUUUUCAGUAAUUUGAAAAUUUCUGAUAGAUAUUUUAAUUUCUUUUUACCAAUUGUAAAUUUUUUUUAAGAAAUUUAAAAUUUUUUUUUCCUAGAAAUUUAAAAUUUUUUUUUCCUAGAAAUUUGAAAAAUUAAUUUUUGAUAUAGUUUAGAGUUUCCAUAUAGUACAAUAUAGCAUUAUACCAUACCAGUUAUAGAUAGGUUUAUCAGUUCAUUUCUCAUUAAAAAUAUCUUUAAAAUAUUCUAAGUGUUCACCCAUCCAGACCAGGGUCGCUAAUUUUUGAAAACAAAAAAAAAAACAAAAAAAUCAUAGUGGGAUGAAAAUGUACAUUGAAAAGAAAGAUAAAAUAGCAGAAAUGAAAGCAAAAUCAUUUUAUAAGGACUUAAUGUAAGGAAGGAAGAAGGGGGUUCUUUGAAUUUUUAUGGGUUACUUGAGGUUUAUCUCGAUUCUUUACUAAACUACAAGUCCCACAGAAAAAUGUCAAAUGGCAAAGUUGUACGUAAUAAAAAGUUCUACAACUUUUGUAUGUACAGCAUUCUCACAUAACCACAAAAUUUAUUUGAAAAAUUCAAAUAAUCAUUUUUUUUUGUUUUUUAUAUUUUUAUUUUCUAUUUUUUUGUUUUUUGAGAAAAUUUUUGUAAACUUACUUUCUUAUUUCUCAAACACACUGUAUUUUUUUAAAUUUAAUAUAAUAUUUAUUAAUAUAGUAAUAACAUUUACUUAGAUAAUUUUUUUCUCACCAUUUUUUAGAGGGUCUAUCAUUUUUCAUCGAAAUUUCUGCAGUAAGAAUAUCUGAUUUUGUUUUUUAAAUGGGUAGGCCUUUUAUUUAUUGCAAUCUCUGCUUUUGUUGGUGUACUGUAUACAUUAUUAUGGUAAAUUUUCGCCGAAAUUGCAAUAAAAGGCCCUACUAAACGAUUCAAAACAGCUUUUCUGCAACUGUUACUAUGAAAUAACAGUUGGAUGAAAUAAAAAAAAAUUAUCAGAUGUUACAUACAUAUAUUUAAUUGGAUAUCUUAUCAACAGACAUUGAUGUGACAGAUUUGAAAAAUUAGUAUUUGCUUACAUCAGCAAUGAGGUCUUCAAAGUUUUUUUGUCAGGAUGGCUUGACUCUCAGUAGUAUAUUUCGUUUGCUGUUAUCCCCUAUAUUUCGAGUAUCGAAUGAAAUCGCAGUUAUCAUAAGUAAAUACUUACUUUAAGGAGCUUUUGAUUUAUUGUAUUUUAUGUUAGAUGGCUGAUCAAAGAUCGCAUGUACAUAGAUUGCCAUAUGUAGUCCUUUGUAAAGCCAUAGGAAAGAAGAACUCCUGUGUUCGAACUUAUAAAUUACAAAUUAUUGCUAGAAUCUUCUCACAAUAUUUAUUUACAGCCCUAUUACGUACCUAAAACAACGGCAGUAUGGUUGCCGUUUGACAAUAGCAUACCAAAAUUUGCAUUACAAGUACGUUCUUUCUUUUCUCUCCUUUUGGAUCUAUAGUAUAUACAAUAUUGUGAGAAGAUUGGUUGCUAUAGUUUCUUUUAGUUAGUUUUUUCUUUUAUUUUUUUGAUUUGUUUUAGGAUUGUAUGGCAUAUUGUAACUCAAUAAGCUCAUUUGCUGAAGUCUCAAAAAUAUGGACGGUUUCGAUUACAAUUUGUUUCGUUAUCUCACCCCUGAACCUUACCUUUCCAUCUUUAUAUUAUUAAUAUUGUUGUAUAUCACUUCUUAUUAAUAUUUUUUUUUGAAUUUUGUGUGAAUGAAGUACAUAAUUGCUAUCAAGCGAUAUAUAAUAUACUUUGUAACUUCAAAUUGAUGUUAAUAUUAAGUCAGCUGUUUCAUUAUAACCUUAAAUAUUCUUAAAUACUUUAUAAGUAAGCUUUAUAUACACUUAAAAUCGCUAUAUGUAUAUAUAUAGUUUAUACUUGCUUAAAGUUUACAUGAAGUUAAAUACGAGGGUAGCUUGAGAUAUGAACUUUUGAGUUUCACCACAUAGUGAAUUUUACAAAUUGUGGUGAAAAGUGAAAGGUGGCUUUAUAUUAACUUUUGAAUUUCACGAGGAGACUUUUACAAAUGAAACCAAACCGCUCUAUAAACUUUUGAAUUUCACCACGAGGUGAGUUUUACAAAUUGUGAUGAAAAGUGAAAGGUAGCGCGAGAAUAAAAGGUUGCCCGGUUGGGAUAAAAUUGCUUUCAAAAAUGUCUCACAGCCCGACAAAAUUAAAAAAAAACAUUGCUUCUUUGAAUUUAUCAACUGAUUCUAGUUAAUUUGGGCGUGCUGAAUUGAAAUCUGUAAUCAGUUUCUAUCAGCUCUAGUUUUCAUGAUAGAGCUUUUUUAUACACUCCACUUAACCUAUGACCUGAAAAAAAAUUUCGCAUUAAAAAUUUAGAAACUGAUUCUAGUUAAUUUGGGCGCGCUGAGUUCAAAUAUGUAAUCAAUUUGUCUCUAUCAGCUCUAGUUUUCAUGAUAUAGUUUUUUUAUUUUUUUUUUCAGGUUUCUGAUUACAGAUUUGAAUUCAGCGCGCCCAAAUUAACUAGAAUCAGUUGAUAAAUUCAAAGAAGCAAAUUGAGUGUUGGCCUGUGUAAUUUUAAGAAAUCAGCUAAUUAUGAGAAUUUUCAACAGAUAUUCUCGAAAAGUAGAAAACAAAUUGAAGGAAAUUUAUGGCGCAAAGCGAAUUGCACAGCAAAAAUUCCACGUACUUAUCAAGCUACCCUCGUAUAUACACAUAUAUUUUUUGCAAAACAAAAGUCUGCUUUAACAAAUUCGUUAACUCAAAAAUUUAUUACAGAGCUUUUAGUAUAAGCUUUUGCUACAUUAUAUUAUAUCUAUUUGUUAUAUAACUUUUGUGUCAGCUUCAACAUUAUGCCUGCCAUAUUACUUAUGUACACGUAAAGCAAAUCUGUUCAACUAUUUUACUUAGUCAACAAUUAAGGUUCAACAAAACUUGCUUUUCUUACAAUUAUCUAAAGUAAAAGAAAUAUAAAAAAAUGAUUAAAAAAGAUAGUAGUUAAUGUUAUUAGCCGUAAAAACUAUACUAAUUGAAAAUCUAGUCAAUAACACUUUCAUAAAAAAUUAUAUGAUAAGAAAAAAUGCACUGACAAAAAUUUUAAAUUUUGCAAAACCGUUAAAAUGCGUGGAAAUUGUGAGUUGGGGAGAGAGGGAGAACGUGAGCUAAAUGAGAGAUCGUGAGCGCUAGUAAGAGAGACGACCAGUUAGAUAUGAGUGAAACCCAAAUAGGAGCUUCUAGGGUCACAUUUUUUAUGCGUGUAAGUUCUACUCUACAUCUAUGUAACAGUUUAUGCUCUGUAACGCAUACUAAGUUUUUAUUAAACAACAUCGAAGUGAUUUCUCUGAAGCCGAAAGUGAUUGGAAAUUUCAUAAGAUGAUUUAUUAGAAAAAAGGUAAAAUUCAAAAAUCAAAAAUUCAUGGCUAUGAAUUUUUAAAUAUUAAUGAGAGUUGUGACAUGAGAACAACGGUAAAACGGGAGAAAAAAUGAGAUAAAGAAAGAUCAAGAGAUAGAGAGAGAGAGAGAGAAAACGAGAGAUAGAGACAAAAAAGAGAGUUAGAGAGAAAAAAGCGAGUUAGAGAGUAUAAUAGAGCGCGUGUAUGAAUUAUAAUACGAAUUAUAUGAUGCUAAACAUAGUCGAAUUGGAUUAAUUACAAACAACAAAAACUAUUAAUUGCAAUUGACUUGGCAUGACUAUGAUUAAGUACCAAUAUUAUUAUAUAGAAUACCCUAAAUAUAAUAUAUAAUAUUAUAUAUAAUUGUAGAAAAACGUAUGUAUGUAUUUAAGAUUACUGAAACACUUAUUUGAAAAAUCUUAAUCAAUAUAUAUAUUCCAAGUAAAUAAGUCCAAAUAUUAAUAAAAGUACAUAAGGAAAAAUAUUAGAUAA